RNAcentral lists this ribosomal RNA (667 nucleotides) under Alexandrium tamarense. RNAcentral's name for it is "eukaryotic LSU rRNA". It matches the Rfam family "Eukaryotic large subunit ribosomal RNA", at positions 43 to 651 of the family's 3401-position model. Lineage: Eukaryota; Dinophyceae; Gonyaulacales; Pyrocystaceae. The record is from RNAcentral.
UAAGUAAGUGGUGGAAAUUAAACCAAAUGGGAUAUCUUUAGUAAUUGCGAAUGAACAAGGAUAUGCUUAGCUUGACAAAUGGAGCUAUUGGCUUUGAAUUGUAUUUGUGGAAUGUAUUACCAACAGAGGUGCGGGUGCCAGCCUAUUAAAUAAAGCGUCAAUGAGGGUGAGAAUCCUGUUUGUCAUGUGCAGCCCUUUGUGCACGGUGUAUAUUUGCUGAGUCACACUCCUUGGCAUUGGAAUGCAAAGUGGGUGGUAAGUUUCAUGUACAGGUAAACAUGCAAUUGAGACUGAUAGCACACAAGUACCAUGAGGGAAAUAUGAAAAGGACUUUGAAAAGAGAAUUAAAUGAGUUUGUAUUUGCUGAACACAAAGUAAACAGACUUGAUUUGCUUGGUGGGAGUGUUGCACUUGCUUGACAAGAGCUUUGGGCUGUGGGUGUAAUGAUUCUUUCUUUGCAUGCCAGUUUCUAUGUGUACAUCUGAUUACCUUUGCACAUGAAUGAUAAGUCUCCUGUGGGGGGUGGAUUGCAUGUGCAUGUAAUGAUUUGUGUUUUGAUAAAUGUGUCUGGUGUAUGUGUGUGUGUUCCUGUGCUUGGGGAUGCUUCCUUCCUUGGACUUACAAGCCCUGACACACACAUGCUGGCAAAAUGCUUCUGCUUGACCCG